AGACUUUUCCUGCCCAGGCUGGCUUUGAGCCACAGUCCUCAGAUCUCAGCCUCCUGAGUAGCUAGAAUUACAGGCGUGAGCCACCAGCACCUGGCUUCUCACUGGAUUCUUGACCACUGGUUAAGUUCCUCCAAGUAGUUAAACCCCUCCCUUCUCCAUCCAACUAUAAAUCAUUCUCUUUCUAGGACAUCCAUAGUUCUAUUUACAUUGAAGCAUUAGAUUGAAUUUUUAAAGCUUACUGCUCAUAAGUCUAGCCAAGCCUUCAUCAAGGCCAAGGGU
Long non-coding RNA from Perognathus longimembris pacificus (Pacific pocket mouse), 279 nucleotides. RefSeq lists it as uncharacterized. NCBI's taxonomy places the organism in Eukaryota, Metazoa, Chordata, Mammalia, Rodentia, Heteromyidae. The transcript is spliced from 2 exons. The record is from RefSeq and is a predicted model, not a curated record.